This 1098-nucleotide small RNA is filed under the name Pan troglodytes (chimpanzee). RNAcentral's name for it is "retained intron". Lineage: Eukaryota; Metazoa; Chordata; Mammalia; Primates; Hominidae. The record is from RNAcentral.
CGAGUGGGAAGGGACUCAGACAGUGCAGGACGAGAAACGCCCGCGGCACCAAAGCCCGUCGGAGCGUCGCCCCCGCCUCUAGUUCUAGAAAGUCAGUUUCCCGGCACUGGCACCCCGGAACCUCAGGGGCUGCCGAGCUGGGGGGGCGCUCAAGCUGCGAGGAUCCGGGCUGCCCGCGAGACGAGGAGCGGGCGCCCAGGAUGGGGUGCAUGAAGUCCAAGUUCCUCCAGGUCGGAGGCAAUACAUUCUCAAAAACUGAAACCAGCGCCAGCCCACACUGUCCUGUGUACGUGCCAGAUCCCACAUCCACCAUCAAGCCGGUGAGUAGGGGAGGUCCCAGUUUCCCUGGGGGCUGAUGGAUGCUGCCCCAACAUUGCCCUAACAGCCUCCUGUCUUCCCAAGGUUGGGCAGGGUGAGCUUGGGGUGAAAGGGAGCUGACUGGCCACCAACAGUGUCCUGACUCGACUCUCCGGGACGCAGCGCCAGCCAGCAUGCAUAGGGGCAAGGAAGUCACCUCUCUUUCCUGCAGCCCAGGCUUGGCCCCUCAGCCUGGGCUCCACCAAACAGGUGUGAGUGAGCAUCUCAGGCCUCCGGCCUGGGCAGAAGCAAAAUCAGUGCUGAGAAACAAGUGAACAGUAAUGAUAGCAGCUGAAGUGACAAUGUAAUGGUAGUAUCAGCAGCAUUGCAAAAAUACAGUGACAAUUGUCAUACUAAUAGUACCAACCAUAAUUGUGUGAGUAUAAGACCAAGAGUAGCAGCAGGAACAACAGCAAGAGUUGUAAAAAGAGAAGCAGUCAUGCUAGGAGAGGUAUUUACCAACUUCUUUUAUGUUUAUACAAAGCUGACUAUGAACCAAGCACUGUUUUAAGCCUUUACAGUUAUUAACACCCUAAUCAUCACAAUAAUCCUAUUGUGUGACACACAAAUACAUUCUUCUUGAAAAUAAAAACACAGGCCAGGUGCAGUGGCUCACACUUGUACUCCCAGCAUUUUGGGAGGCUGAGGCAGGAGGAUUGCUUGAGCCCAGGGGUUCGAACUGCAUGAGCUAUGAUCAUGCCACUGCACUCCAGCCUGGGUGACAGAGUGAGAUUCCAUCUC